This 253-nucleotide ribosomal RNA is filed under the name uncultured bacterium. RNAcentral describes it as "partial 16S ribosomal RNA". It matches the Rfam family "Bacterial small subunit ribosomal RNA", at positions 524 to 776 of the family's 1533-position model. The record is from RNAcentral.
UACAGAGGGGGCAAGCGUUAUUCGGAAUUAUUGGGCGUAAAGGGCGCGUAGGCGGCUUUGCAAGUGACGGGUGAAAUCCCUCGGCUUAACCGAGGAACUGCCUGUCAAACUGCAUGGCUUGAGACCGGGAGAGGUGAGUGGAAUUCCCAGUGUAGCGGUGAAAUGCGUAGAUAUCGUAAGGAAGACCAGUGGCGAAGGCGAAUCUCUGGACAGUUACUGACACUGAGGCACGAAGGCCAGGGGAGCAAACGGG